GUGCCUAAUACAUGCAAGUCGAACGAACUUCCGUUAAUUGAUUAUGACGUGCUUGCACUGAAUGAGAUUUUAACACGAAGUGAGUGGCGGACGGGUGAGUAACACGUGGGUAACCUGCCCAGAAGCAGGGGAUAACACCUGGAAACAGAUGCUAAUACCGUAUAACAGAGAAAACCGCCUGGUUUUCUUUUAAAAGAUGGCUCUGCUAUCACUUCUGGAUGGACCCGCGGCGCAUUAGCUAGUUGGUGAGGUAACGGCUCACCAAGGCGAUGAUGCGUAGCCGACCUGAGAGGGUAAUCGGCCACAUUGGGACUGAGACACGGCCCAGACUCCUACGGGAGGCAGCAGUAGGGAAUCUUCCACAAUGGACGCAAGUCUGAUGGAGCAACGCCGCGUGAGUGAAGAAGGGUUUCGGCU
RNAcentral lists this ribosomal RNA (417 nucleotides) under Pediococcus acidilactici. RNAcentral's name for it is "bacterial SSU rRNA". It matches the Rfam family "Bacterial small subunit ribosomal RNA", at positions 44 to 423 of the family's 1533-position model. Lineage: Bacteria; Bacillati; Bacillota; Bacilli; Lactobacillales; Lactobacillaceae. The record is from RNAcentral.